AGUCUAGGCGGUCAGGUAAGUGGGAUGUGAAAGCUCUCGGCUCACCCGAGAAUGUGCAUCUCAAACUGCCUGGCUUGAGUAUGGGAGAGGAUGAGGGAAUUCCUGGUGUAGCGGUGAAAUGCGUAGAUAUCAGGAGGAACACCGGUGGCGAAGGCGCUCAUCUGGCCCAAUACUGAGCUGAGACUCGAAAAGGCCAGGGGAGCAAACG
Molecule: ribosomal RNA, 208 nt
Filed under: uncultured bacterium
Lineage: Bacteria
Description: partial 16S ribosomal RNA
Rfam family: Bacterial small subunit ribosomal RNA
Source: RNAcentral